Molecule: transfer RNA, 40 nt
Filed under: Gavialis gangeticus (Gharial)
Lineage: Eukaryota; Metazoa; Chordata; Crocodylia; Gavialidae
Description: partial tRNA-Arg
Source: RNAcentral
CCCACCCAACCCAAGGAGCUAGUCUAAUGCAAGACCCCUA